Molecule: ribosomal RNA, 447 nt
Filed under: uncultured bacterium
Lineage: Bacteria
Description: bacterial SSU rRNA
Rfam family: Bacterial small subunit ribosomal RNA
Source: RNAcentral
UCGGGAAUUUUGGGCAAUGGGCGAAAGCCUGACCCAGCAACGCCGCGUGAAGGAUGAAGUAUUUCGGUAUGUAAACUUCGAAAGAAUAGGAAGAAUAAAUGACGGUACUAUUUAUAAGGUCCGGCUAACUACGUGCCAGCAGCCGCGGUAAUACGUAGGGACCAAGCGUUGUUCGGAUUUACUGGGCGUAAAGGGCGCGUAGGCGGCUUGACAAGUCACUUGUGAAAUCUCUGGGCUUAACCCAGAACGGCCAAGUGAAACUGUCAUGCUAGAGUGCAGAAGGGGCAAUCGGAAUUCUUGGUGUAGCGGUGAAAUGCGUAGAUAUCAAGAGGAACACCUGAGGUGAAGACGGGUUGCUGGGCUGACACUGACGCUGAGGCGCGAAAGCCAGGGGAGCAAACGGGAUUAGAUACCCAUGUAGUCCCUGAGCGGGCUGGCAAGGCGCAU